CGCUGCCUGAGGCGCAGGCGCGUGGACGCAGCCCGCCGGGGCCUCGCAUCGCUGUGGGCUUCCUCUGACGACCCAGCAGAGGCCUUUCCGCCUGGCGGUGCUCGGCGCCUCUGGCCUCACCGGCCAGUUCAUGACAGAGCAGGUGUCCCAGAGCGGACCUCCCACCUGCCGUGGGCCGCGCGGGCCGCUCCCCGGAGAAGCUGCGGAGAGUGCCGGAGAGGCUGCUGUGAAGCCGGGAAGACCAACACUGUCAUCUGAAAUUGGAAUAAUAAUUUCUGAUAUCACUAAUCCAGCCUCACUUGAUGAAAUGGCUACACCGGCAACAGUUGUCCUCAAUUCUGUAGGACCCGUACAUUGACUGUUAAGGAAAGUUUCCUGACCUUACAUUCAGGACCUGAGCAGUUGCCGUAAAUCUUCAUUUGUUAUACUGUUGUGUGUCAACAAGUAUAGUUCAGAACUUGAGGUGCACUUGAACUUCCCUAAGGAAACCACAUGAUAUGAGAUGCUGAGAAAAAUUAAAUUGAUGUAUCUCCAGUGUACAACUUUCAUUUGAAGAUUGAAUAAAGAUUAGGAAAAAGAAGCUCAGUUCCUGGGGUCAAUGCAGUGGUUUAUACAGCAACUUAAACAACAGCAAUGAAAAAGUAGCAUCUAGGUGUUCAUUUCAUCUGCUUUCCAAAUGAAGUGACCAAACACCUCAAGAGGAUCUGGAUUUUUCCUGCAAGGAAGAAGUGUGAAAACAUUUUUAAUCAUUAAGACAAGAGAGUUUUGCCACUUGUCAGUGAUGCAGACAUUGUGUACUAGCUGCUUUAUCCUGAAGGCAGUUUAUUAGUUACACAGAUGUGUUAGAAAUUGGGCUCCUGGCAGGGUUUGACAUGGCUAGUGAAUAACUAAGUGCAGUUUUUAUGUACUUCACCAAUGUGUUGUGUUAUUCUUACCGAUUAUUAUAUGCAAGUAAAAUGUAAAUCUGUGUGAUUAUACAGCUUCUUUUAUAUCCAAACAUUAUCCAUAAAGAAAAUAUUCAUGAAUGGAAAGAGAUGGUAAAUAUUGGUGAAAAACAGCCAAAGGUUUUUUGUUUUGGUUUAAAACUCUGACAUAAUUUGAAAUUAUGGAAUAUUACUCAGUAUUUUCAUAAUAAUAGCAAGUUGACAAAUGAUACUCUGAAUAGACAAUCUGUAAUGCUACAAACCAGAUAUUAGGGAGACUUUUGUAUAAUGAGUUAGAAUCAUUCUUUCAUUAAUAUCCCUCCUUGGUAGUACAUCAGCUCUUCUGGCUCAUUAAUGCAAUGUUGAGGAUUUUCAAGUGACGGUGAAAAAUGAAGUAAAUAAAAUUAUAGUGGUCCUAAGACAGAAUGUCUUUAUAAGUGCUUUAGUAAUACACUUCUAACACUAGUAAAAUGGGAAUUGAAAAAGUGAUUAAUUUGUAAUUAAGGCUUUUAGAAAGUAAAAAUUUUCGACUACUUUUGAUAUUCCUUUUCUUUAAUAGUACAGAAUUGUAAAACAUGUCUUAAGAAAAUAACAUACAAAAUUUUUUUCUCAGUGAUAAUUUAUUUUUUCCAUCUUUACUGAAGUACAAUUGACAAAUCAAAUUGUAUUAUUUAAAGCAUGGAACAUGAUGGUUUUAUAUACUUAUUAUGUACUGUGAAAGGAAUCCAUAGUUAAUUAACAAUACCACCACCUCACAUUUUAUCUUUUUUUAAAAAUGAGAACCUUUUAAUUUCUACUCUUCUAGCAAAUUUCAGUUAAAUACAGUGUUGUCAGUUAUAGUCCCCAUAUUAUACACUAGGUCCUCAGACUUUAUAUAUAUACAGACUUUAUUUACCUUAAGUUGGAAGAACUUGAGACAAUUAAUUAGAUUGGGGGCAAACUGGUGACACCAUGAAGAUGCUUUGCUACUUCAGAAAAGUUGCUAAGAUCUAAACUAAGCUUAUUUUCAAGGAAGCAACCUCAGAGACAACACACUACCUUCUGCCUUGCUCUAAGUUAACUACAGUUCAUGUCUCUCUAAGACAACCCUUAAGUCCUUAUUACUUCAUCUCAUUUUUGAGAUAUCCAGGGAGACAUAUAACCCCCAGCUCUUUCUAUUGUGACCCAUGAUUUCAACAUAUUAGUUUGGGAAUCUCAUUGAUGUCAAGUGUAUCCUAAUUCUGGUCUAAAAUAAAAUUAAAUUGGUUAGCAAUUGGAAAAGCUAUGAUUUAGCCACAGCCCUGUGGCACAAUUUAGAAGAAAUUUCAUAAGCUACAAUUUAUUGAAGCUAGACAUUGACCUAAAUGCCUUCUAGGCACUGCGUUAUUUACUUCUUACAAUAAGCUAAUUUAUCAGGUAAAUAAAAGCCAGUAUUUAUCCAGUUUAGAGAUGAGAAAACAGAUAUUUUGAAAGGUUAAGUUAUUUGCCUGAAGUUAAACUAGUUAUCAGCAGCAUCGAGAUUAAAAUAUUAUAAACUCUGCCUUAUUGUAACUACUAAUAUCAAAUUUACUGUUUGUUUGGUUUUUUUUUACAAACUAUAUUGUCCAAAAUGUAAUCUACAUAUUUUUAAUGCAGAGGCUUGACUGUAGACUUAUUUUAACACUGGAGCAUUAAGUCCCCAAAGUUUGAAUAUUUUAAAUAAAAGUAUCUAACAUAUGUAUAGGGAACAGAAAUUAACUGUGACCCACAUAAACACAUAUAAAAUAAAAGUUUAAUCUGAUUAUUUGAAAUAAUUUUCUGCUUAUUCUUUCCUUUUGAAUAAAGUAGAAUGUAUACAUAAUGUAGAGAAGAAAAAAUACUUUAAAACUAGGAAAUAUUUUAUAUUAAUUUAUCUGAAAGAGUUACAUUUUACUUCUUCACAGCUUGUUGUCUUCACUUGUCUUCAAAUAAACUGAAACUUGAAGUAAAAAAUUUCACUAUACCUACACAUAGUAAGUACAUGAUAAAUACUAAUUACUCAGUUGAUUACAUAGGAUCAAUUAGAGUAAACAUUGUGUGCCAAGUGACUACCCAAGGAAUUCUAGAAAUCAGUUAACAUUUUUAUGUAGUGCACAACGCAAGGCUUUAUUAUGUGUUACUGUGUCAUUAUACCUUGGGUUAUUUAUUGUGCUAAUCACUAGGGUUGCAAAAAUAAAAAUAUACAAGAAUCUCAAAUAUAGCAAGAGUUGCAACCAAGCAAAUCACCUCACAAAAUUAUGUAUAAAAUUCAGAGGGAUGAUCUUGAAGGCAGUGAAGGAUAUUAAAAAUCUCAUAGAAGAGAUAAUGCCAUACCAAAUUCCUACUCACCCUGGAAAUCACACUGGUUUUGAGGUUGAGUAGGAAUUUUGACAAGGCCAUAUACAAUUGAAAGUUAUGUGUGUGUGUGUAUAUAUAUAUAUAUACAUUGUGUGUGUAUGUAUAUAUGUGUGUGUGUGUGUGUGUGUGUGUGUGUGUGUGUAUAAAAUGACUGUGUGUAUAUGUAAAGUUAUGUUGGGGGCUGGAACAUUGUGGUAGGCAGAAUAAUGACCUCCCAAGAUAUCCAGAUCCUGGAUCCUGGAACCUGUGAAUGAUACCUUAUAGGGCAAACAGGACUCUGCAGAUGAGAUUAAAUUAAAGAUCCUGAGAUGGGAGGAAUUACCCUGGAAUACCCUCAUGAGCCUACCUGUGAUCACAAGUGUCCUGGUAAAAGGGAGGCAGAGGGAGAUUUGACUACAAAAGGAGAAGAGGUGAUGUGACGAGGAAAGCAGAAACUGGAAGAUGUGUUUUGAAGGUGGAGAAAGAGCACAAGCCAAGGAACACAGGCCACUGGAAGCUGAAAAAGGCAAGGUGAUUGGAUUUCCCUCUCAGCCUUCACAAGGAAGCAUCCUUGCUGAUAAUUUGAAGUCAGCUCGUGUAUCUAAUGAUUUCAGACCUCAGACCUCCAAAACUGUAAGAUAAUGAAUGUAUGAUUUAUUAAUACCAAUAAGUUUGUGGUAGUUUGUUACAGUGGCAAUAGGAAACUAAUACAAGCAUGAGCUCUCAUGCUGAAAAGCCUCACUAGAAUCACAAACCUGACUCCAAAGAGCAUGGGAUAGGAAAGAGUUCCAGUUCCAGAAUCCUAGGAAACAAACAUUGAAAACUGCAUAAAGAAGAUCCAAUGAGAGAGACUGAAAAAAAAAAAAUCAAGGGAAAGAGUAUAAAGAAAUGAUGAUGUUGAACCCAAAGGAAGAAUUCUGUAGAAAUCUGCUCUCUCUUGCAUACCAGACAGAGAGACAGUAGAGAUAGGUGAUUGCAAAGCAGUGCUGGCAUUCUAAAUGAGAUUAUAAUUCAUAAAUCUGUAUUUGUUUUUCUACCAAUAUUUGAGGUAAUGGGAUUAAAAAAUCAAAUGUAAUGGGAAUAUGUACAUCAAAAAGGGUAUGAACUUGCAGGAAUUUAUAAAGUGCUUCAUAUGCUUUCCCUUUUGUACUUUAGGGUAUUCUAAAUUUUAUUUUAGUAUAAUGAUAUGAUAGUAAGUGCAUUUAAACCUGGCCCUCAAUUAUGAGUCUUAAAAAUAACCCUACUAAUUCUUUAUGAUUAAAAAAAAUUCUCAGCCGUUUGGUUUUAUAGUAUAUAUGCAUAUUGGUGAGUCUUCUCACUGCCUUUUAUAAAUAAAAUGCUAUUAUGGUUUCUGGUUAGAGGUUAGGAAUUUUCAUUCUCUGGAAAAUGAAUUUAAAAGAGAUGAAACACAUUUAUACACACUAGAAACAAGGAUACCAGUUGAUCUGUGAAAUGUGAAGUGUCUGAUGCAAAUAUGAAGAAAAAGACAUUUAGAAAGGAAAAUAUCUACCUUUGAGUGCCCUUUUAACUUGGUCAUGAUAUCACUGUGGUUAUUAUUCGUGAGUAGUAAGGUCAUUAAUCUCCAUUUGAAUAAAAAUAAGGAGCCAGACUUGUUUGUAUGAAAUCAGAAGGCAUUCUAAACUUCGUGUUUUUCUACUUCAUAUUUCUUAGAUAAGGAGAUUCUUUGAUCAAAAGGCUAACAAAAAUGACUGUUUUCUGUAAGUUUUAUUCACAUACAAAGUUUAAUUUUAGUAGACACUGCUUUUGAACUAAAUAUAGCCUUUCUUACUAACCAUAAGUCACACCAAAUUGAGCUGUUAUAAAAUAUUAAAUCAAUUUUACUUAAUUUCCUCUAAGGAUGUAAAAAUGAGAUAUUUCUUUUCACUUAUUUAUUUAUUUAUUUUUUGGUGAACAGUCAGUUUACAGUGUUGCAUCAGCCUCUGGUGCACAGCAUAAUGCCUCAGUCAUACGUAUACAUUCAUGUAUUCCCUUUCAUAUUCUUUUUCAUUCUAGGUUACUACAAGAUAUUGAAUAUAGUUCCUUGUGUCCUUUUCCCAUUUUUAACAUAUUUAUUACAACAAACCUUAUAUUUCCAUGUAUAGAGGACUUAGAUCUUGUUUCCAGUGUUGAAUCAUGGAAUUCUAAAGAGCCAGACACUUCUCCACAGCAUUUCCUCGCCUCACCAAUGACUUGGGCAGGAGGAGAUCAGGGCUCAGUUCAGGAUAUGUGGUGAUUCUCCUGGAGAUUUCACUGUUUUUUCCAUCAAGGCCCUCUUGAUGCACAAGCACUGGCUAUAAGACUUCAUAGUGCUGCUUGGCUCAUUAGACUCUGUUGCAGAGGGCAGCCUUGAUGAGCAGGAUAAAGCAACAGCUAAGCCAAAGACCCUGCCAGGUCCUUUGAAUUCUUUUUUCUGGAGUUUGUUUCUUGGUGGGAAGAGGAGGAGUUUAACAUGGAUGGAAGAGUGAACAAUGACUUCAGGUUUUCUCUUGUGGAUGACUGGGUGAGUAAUCAUGCCAUGGGUAAAACAGCAGAUCCUGGGAGUAGAAUUGGUUUUGUUGGGGAAUAUAAUUAAUUCAUUUGAGGUUGUGUUAGAUGUGAUUUACUUAUAGAACAGUCUGAAUGUUUAUUUGGAAAUUUAAUAUUCAGAAAUGAAUUAAGGACAAAAGACAUAGAUUUGUAAGUCACAUACAUAUGUGUAAUAAUUAAGUGAAGAUUCUUGAUGAAAUUAUCCAGCCCUCUUCCCUAAAAUGAGAUCUUUUAAAAAAGAGGGCUAAAGAUGGAGUCCUGAGAUGAGCAAUGUACCAUAAAAGAUGGAGAAGUAUCCAUCAGAGUGGUGGGGAGAGGAAGGCGUUGUAUGGGAGAAAGUUCCCAGGGAAAGGGCUGUGUCAGAUGUCUCACCGGGUGAAAAAAUUACAACAGUUGAAGAAAUGUAAAGGCAGGAUUUGGCCACUAGGAAAUUACUUUUUUGUUACAGCAGCUUUUACACAGGAUAUUGGAACACAUAUUGGAUGACAAAGUUGGAGGAUUGAAUUUCAGUGGAAGAAACACAGAAGAUGAGAUGCUUGGUGGCAUCAGGAGGCAAAGAGAGAGAGAAAGAGAGGCAGAGGAAAGAAAGAAUCCUUGCAUAAUUAUGUCAGUUUUAGAAAUUUAAGAGUAGUUUUAUCCACUGCAGAGAUUGAUUACGGACGGUAGGAAGAGACAGUAACUUGUGGAGUGAGAUUUUACAAUGACCACAUCAGGACACAUCUCCGCCUGCUGACAGGGGUUACUGAGCCCGCUGUGAUUUCAUGCUCAUGGGCUGUGCCACGUAAUACCAAGGUUUAUAUUUCACCCUGUCUUUAUCACAUCGUACUGUCCCACAGCCUUGUUCACCAUUUCUGGUAGAUUAAGGGGUGACAUUAGUGUUUUAUAUUUUCGUGUAUUUGUGUGGCCAUGCUAGAGAUUACAUUUAUUUCAACAGGUGUUUCUUAUGGACAGAGCAGCAGUGACACUGAAGCUCUACAUCAGACGUAUUGUCAUGUAGCCCUUUCUUGGGAAGAUGCAAAUGAACAAGGAUCUGAGAGUGAUGCAGGGGGACAUACCGAGAGCUCGGUGAAAGAGCAUCCUCAAGAAGAUAAAGAAGAGGUGGUAUAUUUAUACAAUGGAAUACUACUCAGCCAUAAAAACCAACAACAUAACGCCAUUUGCAGCAACAUGGAUGCUCCUGGAGAAUGUCAUUCUAAGUGAAAUCUGCCCAUGGUAGAGGAGCUGAUGAAGCCUAUCAGAAUAGAUUCCUUUGGGGUUGGUGGUUUUGAUUUACAACCUGUCAGCUACAAGAAACUGGCUGAGAAUAAAGAAACUGAAUUUGUUAACAAUUUACCCCUUAAGAUGAAUCCAAAUGUUAUGUCUCAAGAAACAAAAUGUGAACCAAUUUUUGGACAAAAAUGAAGAGCAUAUAGUUUUACAAAAGUCACCAAUGAUGGUACAGAAAAUAACUGUCCAAGAGUAAAUACUGUGUAAGAAUAGAUAAAAUGUACCUUGAUAUUUUAAAGAAAAAAACACCUGUUGGUCCUUGAUUAUUACCUCAGGAUGACAAAAAUACAUAAGGUAAGUGUUUAUAGUUUAUAUCGAUGGGACACAGUGAUCAAUGAAGUUACAUAAACACUGCUGACAGGUAUGUACUUCGUGAGCCAGCGGGACUGAUUACAGAGUAACCUCCAAGUGGAUCCUGGGCAUCUGUGAGCAGUAGCUGUUACAACACCCUGUCGUCCCCAGAUUUUAAAAUGCCACUGUAGCAUUGGCUUUCUUUUAGAAGCCAUUUUUUACACUUUAAUUUUUUUAAACACUCAUAGCCCAGAAUUUGAGUAGCAUAAGAAAAUUGUUUAUUCUGGUGCUUUUUAUUCAGCCUUAUCAGUAGUCUGUAUUAUGCAAAAGGGGGCAAGUUGGCAUUUCAUAUAAAUGCUGUUAGUGACUGUUGAGAAACUUAUACAUCUCUGUUCCUUGUUUCUGUUUUCUUGAUUUAUUCUGUUUUAUAGACUCAUGACCACAGUAUUCCAUUUUUAUUUUAUGGAUUUGAUUUAUGUGUUUACCAUAAACUAAACAUAAACUAUCUCCAGUUCCUUGUGGAAUAAGGCAGGUGCUAAGCAGUUUUUACCUUGAGAAAUCUGGAGAAAAAAGAUAAAACUUUAAGUCAUUUCAACUAUGUUCUUCCCCACUCUCCUCCAUGUUCAUUCUUGUAAUUACAUGUCUUGCUUUCUGGGAAGCCUAUUUUGUUUUAUUAUUUUGCUAUUUUUGGUUCUGACUUUGAAGAUGUGCUACAAAGUACUAAAGUUCUGAUGAAUUAGGCUUGGAGAACUUGAAUGUUGUGGCUCACCUUCUACAAAAUGUGUUCUUCAGUAAGCACUAUGGUUUUGCCAUCUGUUAAAUCAUAUUUACAACUCUCACUGAUGUUUAAGUACUGAAGAAUUUGUACAUGUGCACAGACUCUUAGAUCUCAGAUGAGUUACAGAGAAGCAGGGGCUGGUUGGUACAUAGCUACCACACAAAAGGCCAGAAGUGCCCCUCCUUUAUUUAGAGAAAACCCCAGAGUGGAUUAUAUGCAUCAGUUAGGAGCUCAGGCUAAGGCAAACCCAGUUCACCAUUCAAGACAUUUUCUACUCUUGGAAAGAAAACUUCAAAGGACAUUAUGAAAAAUAAAUACUUGAGAUCCAUCCCUGCCUCAAAUCAAGCCAGGAAAAAAGGUAAUUAUACAUACUUUUCAUAAUAAAAUUCUGUACACAUAAUGUAUUAUUUCAUUUUCCUUAUUCUCUACUUUCCCUGCUUCCUUCUCUCCUUCUGAGAACUUUCCUUAUUCGUAGAAAAAAAAUUAAUCUUAAGGUGCUACAUUCCAUCUCUGAAAGACAGAUUCAGUUCACUUCAGUUCAGGGGGUUUGUCAUCAUUAAUUCUAGGUUUUCCUGAAUGAGACCCAGAAAGUAUGGGAGGUGAAUAUAAAAUAGGAGAGCCAAACCCCUCCUCAUCUGGUUGGCUUUGUAAUAUCCAAAAUGUUUGCCAGAAAAGAGCUAUAAUUUAGAUUGCAAUGUACAAAUGAAGGUGGAUACAGAGAGAAAUAUCUGGUUGUGAGUUGAGUCUAGUGUUGGAGAGUCCGGAUGUUUUAUCAGUCACCUGCAUGAUUUAUAAAGCACCUCUGCUAGUUAUUUCCUGGUGGAGUCAUCCAUCUUGGUGGGAGGAAAUGGCGGUUUCCCAUGUAGAAGCCCAUGCCACUAUUAAUAGGAAUAGAAACUCUCAAGUCAGACCAGUGUCUCUGCUGCCUUUAGACUCCGGCGGGGCCGAGAGAGCAGUAGAGCCAGAAGUGAUUCAUGCUUUCCUUUGUGGCUCAGCCGAGUAGGCAUCCGAGCCCAUCACUGCUGCCUGCUGUGACAGAGGAGAGCUAGCCUCACUAGGAAAGUCACUUCCAGCUUAAAGUGCCUCCCCGGCCUUUCCCAGGACCACUUGGACUGUAUUAGAAUUCUUUUGGCAUUGAAGUCUCUCCACUUCUGUCUGUGUGGCUGUGUCCGCUGCAGCAGCCUGCAUGUGUCAGAUGUAGGGCUCGUAUCUGUCCGUGUGCAGGAGAGCAGCUGGAGUGGUGGCUGUUCUGUGCACAGAGGAAUCAGAUUCUGUUGAUUAAUGCAGCAUCCUUUCCUCCUGUUCUUAACGUAGGGACCUCAGAUCCCUUCCCCUAACAGGCGCCUUGUGUUCUCUUACUUUCUCUUCCUUUUCUGUGGAGCACCUGCUUGUGCUGCUGUCAUCUGUUCAUUGUUGUUAAUAACUAACCUUCUACUGGAUCUAGUGCUCGAUGUUAAGAAAAACACUCGGAACAUUUCCCAAAUUUUAGAAUCAUCAAGAGGAGUGUGAAAGUUUUUCAUUAAUGUUUUAGAAGUAGUCAUCCUGUCUGUACCUUUGAGAGCAAGAGAAUGAAGUUUUGUUUUUAAUAUUACUUUAUUAUAUUUAUUUUGGACAAACUAACCCCCAACAUUUCUGAAGUUUACUUUAUCCAAAUUCAUUCAUAUAACAAGUGUUUUUGGGCACAGGCCUGGGUCUAGGCACUGUUGGACGCCCUCCAGGUACAUUGAUAAGCAAGGCAGCGCCACCUCCCCUCCCCCAUCUCAUGGAGCUGUCAUCUGAUGAAGAGGGACAGACACUUAAUAAUGAGCAUACAAAUGAGUAAAUAAUGUUACAUGUUAAGGGGAAAUAGAAAGCAGAGCAAGCGUGUCAGUGGUGGAGUCCAGCAGGUCACCAUUUGAAAUAAGGUAGAGUCGGCCUUGGUGAGAGAGCCCUUUGAAUGCAGACUUGUAGGAGGAAAUGGAAUUGGCUGUGUGGGUGUGUGGGGGAAGCAUAUUCCAGAAAAAUGAAACAGUCAGUGCAAAAGUCCUGAAGAGGGAGGAAUGCCUGGCAUCUUGGGGAUCAGCAUAGAAGCCCACAUGGCUGGGGCAGAGUGGGCAGAGAGGGGCAGGGGAGAUGAGGUCGGGCAUCACAGGGACAGGCGCGGUCGGCUUUUCUAGGGCAUUAAGCAGCCGUGGGCUUUCACUCAGUGUGGAAAGGUGAGCGCCUGCGAAGUUGUGAGCAUGGCAGUGACUUCACCUGAUAUAUCCUUUAGACAGAUUCCACGGGCUGAUGCCAUUGACUGAAUGCAUUCAAAUAUAGACCCACACCAUAGGGACACAGGAAGAAGCACAGAGACCAGUUAGACAGGGAUUUGAGGAAUCCGGGGUGGGAGUGAUGGGGCUCGAUCCAGGGUGGUGGCAGUGGUGGUAAUGAGAAGCAGUUGGAUGGGGAUGUAUUUAGGAGAUAGAGCCGAAAGUCUAAAAGAUUGGUCCGGGGUUGUGAGAGAGGCGUCAUGGGUGAUGGCAGGGUUUGCGGCUUGAGCAGCUGGAAGAAUGUGGUUCCUCUCCGGCUGGGAUGGAGGGAGAGGCAGAGUGGGCUUGGGGGUGGAGGGAGGACCAGGAGUUGAGCUGCUGAGGUGCUAAUUUUGAGAUGCCUGUUCUGUGUGCCAGUGGAGAUGGCAAGGAGGCGGUCAGAUUGAGGAGUCUGAAGUUGAGAGGGAGGUGUGGACUGUAGGUAUCAAGUGUUGUGAAAAAUGAAUAUUUUUGAAGCCGUGGGUUUUUUUUAAUCGAAGUAUAAUGGAUUUACAGUAUUGUGUUAGUUUCAGGAGUACAGCAAAGUGAACCAGUUUUUUUGCAGAUUAUAUUCUGUUAUAGGUUAUUACAAUCAUUGGGUAGAGUUCCCUGUGCUGUACAGUAAAUCCUUGUUGCUGAACUAUUUUAUGUACAGUAGUUUGUGUCCAUUAAUUGCAUACCCUUGAUUUCUCCUUUCCCCCACCUCCCAUUGUUAGCCACAAGUUUCUUUUCUGUCUGUGAGUCUUUCUGUUUUCAUAUAUGUUCAUUUGUAUUAUUUUUGAGAUUCCCCACGUAAAUGAUAUAUAGUUUUUGUCUUUCUCCAUCUGACUUACUUCAUUACACAUAAUAUUCUCCUAGACUUGACAAAGAUUAUCAAGGGAGCAUAUCUGGAGAGAAAAGGCAAACCAAGGCCUGAGCCUGGGGCGUGCUGAACUAAAGAGGUCAGGAGGGAGAGGGGUAAUCUGCAAGGACAGAGCAAGGUUGAGGCAACCUGACCAUGUGAGCUCCUGAAGCCAGGUGGGGAGAAUAUAUAGAGGAGAGUAGAUCUGCUGUGUCUGCUGCUGCUGAGAGAGAAUGAGGAUUGACAGCUGACCUUGGAAUUUAGCAGGAAGGAGGCUGUCAGCAUUGGACAAGCAGUUUCCGUGGGCAGGUGGCUGUGAAAGGAAAACUGGGAACAGGAGAAGUGGAAUUGGCUACUUCAAGGUAUAGACCCCCUGGAGGAAAGGGUGUAAAAUUUGGGGGGGGCAGUCGCUGGCAGGAGG
Molecule: RNA transcript, 11629 nt
Organism: Camelus dromedarius (Arabian camel)
Lineage: Eukaryota; Metazoa; Chordata; Mammalia; Artiodactyla; Camelidae
Gene name: saccharopine dehydrogenase-like oxidoreductase
Exons: 11
Source: RefSeq, a predicted model, not a curated record